Molecule: ribosomal RNA, 301 nt
Filed under: uncultured bacterium
Lineage: Bacteria
Description: partial 16S ribosomal RNA
Rfam family: Bacterial small subunit ribosomal RNA
Source: RNAcentral
CAGUCGCCGCGGUAAAACGGAGGGUGCAAGCGUUAAUCGGAAUUACUGGGCGUAAAGCGCACGCAGGCGGUCUGACAAGUCAGAUGUGAAAUCCCCGGGCUUAACCUGGGAACUGCAUUUGAAACUGUCAGGCUGGAGUCUUGUAGAGGGGGGUGGAAUUCCAGGUGUAGCGGUGAAAUGCGUAGAGAUCUGGAGGAAUACCGGUGGCGAAGGCGGCCCCCUGGACAAAGACUGACGCUCAGGUGCGAAAGCGUGGGGAGCAAACAGGAUUAGAGACCCCGGUAGUCCCUGUCUCUUAUAC